AAUAUAUAUAAACCUGGAACUCAAAGGAGACAGCAAGUACCUGCGGAGAUGAAAAGAUCCUGCUUGUGGAGUAAACACUUUAACUCUUUCAGGGAGAUGUGAAUUAUUCUGUUUCUCGGCAAUAGAUCAUUUAUUUGGAUAUGGAAUGAAUCUGCCUCUGGCUAGGAAUAUCAACUGCAACACAACUGAACCAACCAAUAUUAGUAGCUGAAAGAAUACUUGUCUCAUAUAAUUUAGCAGUUCUACAAACAUACUUAUACUUUUAAAUUUCACAAUCAACAGCAAUUGAGUAAAUUGAUCAAACGAUGAAUGAUCAGUGGAUGAACAAGGUUCUGCUGACUUCUAUUGAUGAAAUUGAGGCCGUUUCCACCAUGGAGCAACCUGCUGCUUCUACCCUGAUUGAUUUUUGUAUUCGACUGCUCACCAGGGAGUACCUAGUAGAAUCUCUUCAGGAAGAGGGAGGAAAGCCAAAAGGAGAGGUGGCAUCUGCACUGGUCUGAACGGCCCUGAAGCUCCAGCUGGGACCGAGCCAGCUGUGGAAAAGCACGCGAUGGCAACAUCACGAACGUUGCUUCAGGAAGAGUCGGUCAUCCUUUAUGUUGUGCAGACAGCACAGAAUAUGGCUAAAGGCUACUGGAACCAUUGAAUGACUCAGUGACAAAAGACAUCAACGGUUGAUCAAAUCAAUUAGCUACUUUUCUCAGCUUAAAAUAUUCCCUUUCCCACCAGUUAUGUUUUGCUGUGUCAAAUGCACAUUUCUGUACCACGGCACUAAGAUUCUGAGUCUGUCUGUGAGGCACAGGUCUUAGUAGUUCAACAACAACGACAGCGACAGCAAAGUACUCAGAUGAUUUUUAAGACCAGGUUAGAUUGAGGACCCAUACUACAAGACAACUCUGGAGGCCUUACUGUGUUCAUUCAUUUUUCUGCCACAAAAGAGAAUGCUCUGGAGAGAAGAAACCAGCAAGGAGUAGGUCUGCUCCUUAUUGUAAUGAUUGGACCACCUCAACCACCUCAUGCAAAACUUUGGCAGAGUCAGUGGCCUCGGACUUCACAGUAUUUGAAAAUACUGAAUGAUUUUGGAUGAAAAAUGCUUCUUUUACUUCUUCUGUUACAGACCUGAAA
RNAcentral lists this long non-coding RNA (1125 nucleotides) under Oryctolagus cuniculus (rabbit). Its description in RNAcentral is "lncRNA (ENSOCUG00000031669.1)". Lineage: Eukaryota; Metazoa; Chordata; Mammalia; Lagomorpha; Leporidae. The record is from RNAcentral.